This 1322-nucleotide ribosomal RNA is filed under the name Arthrobacter sp. Its description in RNAcentral is "bacterial SSU rRNA". It matches the Rfam family "Bacterial small subunit ribosomal RNA", at positions 101 to 1421 of the family's 1533-position model. The record is from RNAcentral. Lineage: Bacteria; Bacillati; Actinomycetota; Actinomycetes; Micrococcales; Micrococcaceae.
AACGGGUGAGUAACACGUGAGUAACCUGCCCUUAACUCUGGGAUAAGCCUUGGAAACGGGGUCUAAUACUGGAUAUUGACUUUACCUCGCAUGGGGUUUUGUUGAAAGAUUUAUUGGUUUUGGAUGGACUCGCGGCCUAUCAGCUUGUUGGUGAGGUAAUGGCUCACCAAGGCGACGACGGGUAGCCGGCCUGAGAGGGUGACCGGCCACACUGGGACUGAGACACGGCCCAGACUCCUACGGGAGGCAGCAGUGGGGAAUAUUGCACAAUGGGCGAAAGCCUGAUGCAGCGACGCCGCGUGAGGGAUGACGGCCUUCGGGUUGUAAACCUCUUUCAGUAGGGAACAAGGCCAGCAUUUUUGUUGGUUGAGGGUACUUGCAGAAGAAGCGCCGGCUAACUACGUGCCAGCAGCCGCGGUAAUACGUAGGGCGCAAGCGUUAUCCGGAAUUAUUGGGCGUAAAGAGCUCGUAGGCGGUUUGUCGCGUCUGCCGUGAAAGUCCGGGGCUCAACUCCGGAUCUGCGGUGGGUACGGGCAGACUAGAGUGAUGUAGGGGAGACUGGAAUUCCUGGUGUAGCGGUGAAAUGCGCAGAUAUCAGGAGGAACACCGAUGGCGAAGGCAGGUCUCUGGGCAUUAACUGACGCUGAGGAGCGAAAGCAUGGGGAGGCGAACAGGAUUAGAUACCCUGGUAGUCCAUGCCGUAAACGUUGGGCACUAGGUGUGGGGGACAUUCCACGUUUUCCGCGCCGUAGCUAACGCAUUAAGUGCCCCGCCUGGGGAGUACGGCCGCAAGGCUAAAACUCAAAGGAAUUGACGGGGGCCCGCACAAGCGGCGGAGCAUGCGGAUUAAUUCGAUGCAACGCGAAGAACCUUACCAAGGCUUGACAUGAACUGGAAAUACCUGGAAACAGGUGCCCCGCUUGCGGUCGGUUUACAGGUGGUGCAUGGUUGUCGUCAGCUCGUGUCGUGAGAUGUUGGGUUAAGUCCCGCAACGAGCGCAACCCUCGUUCUAUGUUGCCAGCACGUAAUGGUGGGGACUCAUAGGAGACUGCCGGGGUCAACUCGGAGGAAGGUGAGGACGACGUCAAAUCAUCAUGCCCCUUAUGUCUUGGGCUUCACGCAUGCUACAAUGGCCGGUACAAUGGGUUGCGAUACUGUGAGGUGGAGCUAAUCCCAAAAAGCCGGUCUCAGUUCGGAUUGGGGUCUGCAACUCGACCCCAUGAAGUCGGAGUCGCUAGUAAUCGCAGAUCAGCAACGCUGCGGUGAAUACGUUCCCGGGCCUUGUACACACCGCCCGUCAAGUCACGAAAGUUGGUAACACC